This 88-nucleotide transfer RNA is filed under the name Bacteroidota bacterium. RNAcentral describes it as "Bacteroidetes bacterium (wastewater metagenome) tRNA-Ser". It matches the Rfam family "tRNA". Rfam says of the family: Transfer RNA (tRNA) molecules are approximately 80 nucleotides in length. The record is from RNAcentral. Lineage: Bacteria; Pseudomonadati; Bacteroidota.
GGAAGGGUGCGAGAGUGGUUGAUUCGGCCGGUCUCGAAAACCGGUAUUCCGCAUCGCGGAAUCGAGGGUUCGAAUCCCUCCCCUUCCG